RNAcentral lists this microRNA precursor (130 nucleotides) under Saccharum sp. Its description in RNAcentral is "miR827 stem-loop (ssp-MIR827)". Its record names the gene ssp-MIR827. It matches the Rfam family "MIR827 microRNA precursor family". Lineage: Eukaryota; Viridiplantae; Streptophyta; Magnoliopsida; Poales; Poaceae. The record is from miRBase by way of RNAcentral.
ACCUGUUUUGUUGGUGGUCAUUUAACCAUGCUUCCAUCGAUGGGUGCAUGGUUUAUGGCAGAGUGUGAUGCCAUGAACUCAUCAUGGUCAUGCAUGUGUGCAUGGUUAGAUGACCAUCAGCAAACAUGUU